UUGAAACCCUAGCUAUAAAUAUAAGUUUAUUAAGUCAAUGUAUAUGGAGAGAUAUUUUGAGAGAGGAGACUACCCAGAAGACUGAAGUAGAGAAUGAUUGACAAUGCCUUUGAGGUGAUGAUAUUUAAGGAUUUUUAGAGGAAGUGUUAGGGUGAAGUUUCUUUUGGUAUGGCUUUUGGAGAUUAUGAAGAAUAAUAAGUUUUAGGAGUUCUGAUGUUGUGAAGUGAGCGGGAAAAGAAGUUUAGUGAUUUUGGGAUUGAAUGGUCUUCGAAUAGUUUUAUAUUUAUUGGCCAAUUGGCAUUAUGUA
Molecule: long non-coding RNA, 307 nt
Organism: Quercus lobata
Lineage: Eukaryota; Viridiplantae; Streptophyta; Magnoliopsida; Fagales; Fagaceae
Exons: 3
Source: RefSeq, a predicted model, not a curated record